This 253-nucleotide ribosomal RNA is filed under the name uncultured bacterium. Its description in RNAcentral is "partial 16S ribosomal RNA". It matches the Rfam family "Bacterial small subunit ribosomal RNA", at positions 524 to 776 of the family's 1533-position model. The record is from RNAcentral.
UACGUAGGUGGCAAGCGUUGUCCGGAAUUAUUGGGCGUAAAGCGCGCGCAGGCGGUUUCUUAAGUCUGAUGUGAAAGCCCACGGCUCAACCGUGGAGGGUCAUUGGAAACUGGGGGACUUGAGUGCAGAAGAGGAGAGCGGAAUUCCACGUGUAGCGGUGAAAUGCGUAGAGAUGUGGAGGAACACCAGUGGCGAAGGCGGCUCUCUGGUCUGUAACUGACGCUGAGGCGCGAAAGCGUGGGGAGAAAAAAGG